This 856-nucleotide long non-coding RNA is filed under the name Zonotrichia albicollis (white-throated sparrow). RNAcentral describes it as "lncRNA (ENSZALG00000011115.1)". The record is from RNAcentral. Lineage: Eukaryota; Metazoa; Chordata; Aves; Passeriformes; Passerellidae.
UGUGUUUUCAGUACUGCAGCUUGUUUGACAACAGCUCUGUCCUUUGCAGGUAUUCUGCUGGACUUGCUUACCUUCAUUUUCAGUUUUUGCUUAUGCUAGCCAUUUGUGAGUGUCUCUCCUUCAUAGCCAAUGUUUACUGUUCAGGGAAAAAGAGUGUAAUGCUUCUGAUGCAUCCUGCUUUUCCUACAUGCAGCAGUGAAUGGCACCAUGACUGUCAGAUUAGAAACUAAAAAGUGUUCUAAAGGCAGCAGGAGUGCCUUUGUGGCCUGGAGAAGAAAGCAGAGCAAAAUGCUCAUGAGAAUUUGGACUACACCUGAAAUGGUGAAGAAAGAUCCCAUUUCUCGGUGGAUGAAAACAGAGUGGUAACUGUGAUCUAUACCUUGAUGAUCCUCAUGCUGAACCCACUGUUCCACAACCUCAGAAACAAGAGGUGAAGGCUGCUCUGAGGAGGAUGACACACAGAAUAAUAACACCAGGGAAGAGGGAGACCAUGACUCAAGACAGAGCCUGACUGAAGGCCAGCUGCUCACAGCUGCAUAAGCUCUUAUUUCAUUCUGCCUUUAUGUUCUGCUUGCAGAGACGUUAACAUUGCCUUUCACUUGGAGUAGUAUUGCUUCCUCUGUAAUGGAGCAGCAUAGCACUGCCUGUGUUCUUCUAGGGUGUGAGCCUGUGACUCUGGCUUUGAUAGCCCAGGUGAGGAGCAUCUCAUGUCACAUGUUCACUCCUUAACUAGUACCGUUUAAUUUGGGAUGAGUGACUUCUGGGGUUAUUUUAGAUAUCAACAUGCAGGUGAGACAAAACUUUGUUUGGCUCAAGAUCCUUGUUUGUGUUCCAGCUGGAUCAUUUUUUCCUCAGU